This 252-nucleotide ribosomal RNA is filed under the name uncultured prokaryote. RNAcentral describes it as "partial 16S ribosomal RNA". It matches the Rfam family "Archaeal small subunit ribosomal RNA", at positions 474 to 726 of the family's 1478-position model. The record is from RNAcentral.
UACCAGCACCCCGAGUGGUCGGGACGAUUAUUGGGCCUAAAGCAUCCGUAGCCGGUACUGCAAGUCUUCCGUUAAAUCCACCUGCUCAACAGUUGGGCUGCGGGGGAUACUACAGCGCUAGGAGGCGGGAGAGGCAAGCGGUACUUAAUGGGUAGGGGUAAAAUCCACUGAUCCAUUGAAGACCACCAGUGGCGAAGGCGGCUUGCCAGAACGCGCUCGACGGUGAGGGAUGAAAGCUGGGGGAGCAAACCG